This 350-nucleotide ribosomal RNA is filed under the name uncultured bacterium. RNAcentral's name for it is "bacterial SSU rRNA". It matches the Rfam family "Bacterial small subunit ribosomal RNA", at positions 8 to 350 of the family's 1533-position model. The record is from RNAcentral.
AGAGUUUGAUCCUGGCUCAGGAUGAACGCUAGCUACAGGCUUAACACAUGCAAGUCGAGGGGAAACGACAUCGAAAGCUUGCUUUUGAUGGGCGUCGACCGGCGCACGGGUGAGUAACGCGUAUCCAACCUGCCCACCACUUGGGGAUAACCUUGCGAAAGUAAGACUAAUACCCAAUGACGUCUCUAGAAGACAUCUGAAAGAGAUUAAAGAUUUAUCGGUGAUGGAUGGGGAUGCGUCUGAUUAGCUUGUUGGCGGGGUAACGGCCGCCAAGGCUACGAUCAGUAGGGUCUGAGAGGAAGGUCCCCCANAUUGGAACUGAGACACGGUCCAAACUCCGUACGGAGGCA